CGCCUGCCCCGUGACAAAAGUUUAACGGCCGCGGUAUUUUGACCGUGCAAAGGUAGCGCAAUCACUUGUCUUUUAAAUGAAGACCUGUAUGAAUGGCAUAACGAGGGCUUAACUGUCUCCUUUUCCCAAUCAAUGAAAUUGAUCUCCCCGUGCAGAAGCGGGGAUAUAUACAUAAGACGAGAAGACCCUAUGGAGCUUUAGAUACCAAGACAGAUCUUGUUAAACACCUCAAAAUAACGAAAGAAACUAAAAGAAACCUGCCCUAAUAUCUUUGGUUGGGGCGACCGCGGGGAAAAAAAUAACCCCCAUGUGGACUGAGAAAAUAAAUCUCACAACCAAGAGCCACAGCUCUAGCUAGCAGAACUUCUGACCUUAAGAUCCGGCAAUGCCGAUCAACGGACCGAGUUACCCUAGGGAUAACAGCGCAAUCCUUUUUUAGAGUUCAUAUCGACAAAAGGGUUUACGACCUCGAUGUUGGAUCAGGACAUCCUAAUGGUGCAGCCGCUAUUAAGGGUUCGUUUGUUCAACGAUUAAAGUCCU
This 540-nucleotide ribosomal RNA is filed under the name Betta unimaculata (Howong betta). RNAcentral's name for it is "partial 16S ribosomal RNA". It matches the Rfam family "Bacterial large subunit ribosomal RNA", at positions 1856 to 2597 of the family's 2925-position model. The record is from RNAcentral. Lineage: Eukaryota; Metazoa; Chordata; Actinopteri; Anabantiformes; Osphronemidae.